This 453-nucleotide ribosomal RNA is filed under the name uncultured Porphyromonadaceae bacterium. Its description in RNAcentral is "partial 16S ribosomal RNA". It matches the Rfam family "Bacterial small subunit ribosomal RNA", at positions 341 to 792 of the family's 1533-position model. The record is from RNAcentral. Lineage: Bacteria; Pseudomonadati; Bacteroidota; Bacteroidia; Bacteroidales; Porphyromonadaceae.
ACGGAAGGCAGCAGUGAGGAAUAUUGGUCAAUGGGCGAAAGCCUGAACCAGCCAAGUCGCGUGAAGGAUGAAGGUAUUAUGUAUUGUAAACUUCUUUAGCAGCAGAGUAAUAAGGGGGUCGUGACCCCCGAUGCAAGUAUGCUGAAAAUAAGGAUCGGCUAACUCCGUGCCAGCAGCCGCGGUAAUACGGAGGAUCCGAGCGUUAUCCGGAUUUAUUGGGUUUAAAGGGUGCGCAGGCGGUUUUUUAAGUCAGUGGUUAAAUCGUGAGGCUCAACCUCAUCACGCCAUUGAUACUGGAAGACUUGAUUGCGGUUGAGGUUGGCGGAAUUCGUCGUGUAGCGGUGAAAUGCAUAGAUAUGACGAAGAACACCGAUUGCGUAGGCAGCUGACCAAGCCGUAAAUGACGCUCAUGCACGAAAGUGCGGGGAUCGAAUAGGAUUAGAUACCCUGGUA